UGAGGAACAUGACUUUCGGUGGGGGAGUAGCCGGCCCAACGGCCGGGUAAUACCGCGUACGACCUUUUGGGGACAUCCCCGAUUGGUGAAAGCAGCAAUGCGCCGAAAGAGUGCCUCGCGGCCUAUCAGCUAGUUGGUGGGGUAAUGGCUCACCAAGGCGACGACGGGUAGCUGGUCUGAGAGGAUGGCCAGCCACAUUGGGACUGAGACACGGCCAGACUCCUACGGGNGCAG
Molecule: ribosomal RNA, 234 nt
Filed under: uncultured bacterium
Lineage: Bacteria
Description: partial 16S ribosomal RNA
Rfam family: Bacterial small subunit ribosomal RNA
Source: RNAcentral